UUCAUCCUUACUAUCCUCCUCUUUUUCUCUUUCCCAUUCGCUUUCAUAUGCUUCUUCUUUUUGGCCCAUAUUUACCGACUCGAACAUGCCAGUGUAUAAUUGGGAACCAGAAUGUUGUUUUGCCUAGGAAAAUCUUGAAAAUUUUGUCUUGAUUCCUGCAUCCACUGAAUCAUCCAAUUUAACUUUGGAUGACUAUUCUCAC
This 202-nucleotide long non-coding RNA is filed under the name Gossypium raimondii (Peruvian cotton). Its description in RNAcentral is "long non-coding RNA (GRAI_LNC005615)". Lineage: Eukaryota; Viridiplantae; Streptophyta; Magnoliopsida; Malvales; Malvaceae. The record is from RNAcentral.